GCUGGAUGUUGGCAUGAGUAAAUGCCAUCCAAUACUUGGUUAGGGGAGUCAAAUAUGCCCUAAGGAUGUUAACCAGUGCUCCAUUAGGGUUUCUCUGAAAAUGCCUCCCAAGGAUGCACAUCACUCUCUCAAUAUCUUCAUAAUCCCUGGCCUCCCCUAGUAUAGCAGCAUAAUUGCACUGCUCUCCUGGCCAUUCAGUCCUUAGGAAGGCAUUAAUGGUGUCAGGAUCAUAGCUGAUCAAAU
This 243-nucleotide long non-coding RNA is filed under the name Vigna radiata. RNAcentral describes it as "long non-coding RNA (VRAD_LNC015779)". The record is from RNAcentral. Lineage: Eukaryota; Viridiplantae; Streptophyta; Magnoliopsida; Fabales; Fabaceae.